This 304-nucleotide ribosomal RNA is filed under the name Salmonella enterica. RNAcentral's name for it is "partial 23S ribosomal RNA". It matches the Rfam family "Bacterial large subunit ribosomal RNA", at positions 2639 to 2925 of the family's 2925-position model. The record is from RNAcentral. Lineage: Bacteria; Pseudomonadati; Pseudomonadota; Gammaproteobacteria; Enterobacterales; Enterobacteriaceae. RNAcentral also lists the same sequence under 1 other name.
UAUCUGCCGUGGGCGCUGGAGAACUGAGGGGGGCUGCUCCUAGUACGAGAGGACCGGAGUGGACGCAUCACUGGUGUUCGGGUUGUCAUGCCAAUGGCACUGCCCGGUAGCUAAAUGCGGAAGAGAUAAGUGCUGAAAGCAUCUAAGCACGAAACUUGCCCCGAGAUGAGUUCUCCCUGAGACUUUAGGUCUCCUGAAGGAACGUUGAAGACGACGACGUUGAUAGGCCGGGUGUGUAAGCGCAGCGAUGCGUUGAGCUAACCGGUACUAAUGAACCGUGAGGCUUAACCUUACAACGCCGAAG